RNAcentral lists this ribosomal RNA (442 nucleotides) under uncultured bacterium. Its description in RNAcentral is "partial 16S ribosomal RNA". It matches the Rfam family "Bacterial small subunit ribosomal RNA", at positions 338 to 795 of the family's 1533-position model. The record is from RNAcentral.
CCUACGGGAGGCAGCAGUAGGGAAUCUUUCACAAUGGGCGAAAGCCUGAUGGAGCAACGCCGCGUGCAGGAUGAAGGCCUUCGGGUUGUAAACUGCUUUUAUAAGCGAGAAAUAUGAUGGUAACUUAUGAAUAAGGAUCGGCUAACUACGUGCCAGCAGCCGCGGUCAUACGUAGGAUCCGAGCAUUAUCCGGAGUGACUGGGUGUAAAGAGUUGCGUAGGUGGCAUAAUAAGUAGCUAGUGAAAUCUGGUGGCUCAACCAUUCAGACUAUUAGCUAAACUGUUAAGCUCGAGACCGUUAGGGGUAACUGGAAUUUCUAGUGUAGGAGUGAAAUCCGUAGAUAUUAGAAGGAACACCAAUAGCGUAGGCAGGUUGCUGGGACGGUUCUGACACUAAGGCACGAAAGCGUAGGGAGCAAACGGGGUUAGAUACCCGAGUAGUC